CUGUUGGUGCUCUUUAUGCUGCAGAUGGAUAUAAAACGGAAAGAGAGCGAGAGGUGGAGACUCCCUUCCUUCCUGCAAUGCAUUUAUCAUGGCCGCAGGAGCCGGAGAAAAGGCCACAUAACAGAAGAGGCAAACGUUCAUGAAGAUGCUGUGCAGGACCUCGAGGAAGAAGUGGCUCUGAGCAGACUGUCACCCAACGGAAACUAUGAAGAAGCUGCUGGAGGCACRGGCACCUAGAGCUGCCGGGCACCCAGCACAGGCCAUGUCCUGGAUCUGCCUGGUUGAUUUGGAGCUGUGGGAGGAAGAGCUGGCGCAUGCCCACGUGCCUUCUCCUCUGGGGAGCAGCUGCUCGCCUUAACUCGCCAGGGCCUUCUGUAGCUACCACCAGCCUCCAGCGUCCGUGCUAGCCAGUCCUCCUCUGCUCACAGCGCUGCAGCAGCAGAGCCUUGCGGGGGCUGUGUCCCACUGCCCGUGGGGUGCCUGGAGCUGCCAAUGGGCAACGGUCUUUUGAGAAGCCCUUUGGGAACGUUGUCUUCUGGCUGGGUGUGAAGAUGUGGGGAUUUGGGUUGUUAAAUGCUGCAAUCUGCCUGCAGAAAGAGGAAUGCUUCCAAAUUCUGAGCAAAAUUCCCUGCUGAGAGAGGCCUUUCAGGCUGUUCUCCCUGGCAAGCAGACUCUGCUGCCGUGUUUUCCUGCUUUAUUGCUGUUUUGAAGUUGCCUCCCACUCUCUGAUCAGGAAAAGAAARACGAGUAACAUGGUGGCAUGGGGACUGCAGUGGGACUAAGUGUGAGGCCUCGAAUUGACCAGCAGGCUGAAAAGGCUUGAACAUUACUGUGUAAUGCAAAGAAAUGCAGUAACCGCCUGUUCUGGGUCGCAAGAAUAAUGCAGAAGAUACGGAAAAUAAUGGCAGUGGGAGCGUGGUUUUGAGAGCAGGAUGCAUCUGCCUGGCUUGUCUUGGCGUUCACAGACUGACCGACGGGCUGCUUGGGCUGGGAGGUGACAGACAUGGACUGCUAUGUGGUUGAUGUUAGAUGGGGUGAGGAGAGAGGCCUGUCUGAGCAUGGACGUCUCCACAACCAUGUGGUGUCAGGUCCAGGAGGAGGCCCACUGUGUUCCUCUCACUGAGAUGUCGCUGCUUCAUGAAUGAAUGAAUAAAUACAUAUAUAUGUAUGAAGAAUCA
Molecule: long non-coding RNA, 1178 nt
Filed under: Dromaius novaehollandiae (emu)
Lineage: Eukaryota; Metazoa; Chordata; Aves; Casuariiformes; Dromaiidae
Description: lncRNA (ENSDNVG00000007009.1)
Source: RNAcentral